UAUAUAUAUAUCUAUAUAUAUAUAAAAUCAGAAUUGGGCACACCUCAAAGUUUCAAAACUUAGCAAUAAUCCAUUCAUUUUAAUGAACCAAACAUAAAUCACUAUUAGACACAAAUAUCAACAUUGAUUUCCAAAGGACAAAACAUAACACAUAGAACAUCAUAAAGUAAAAUAAAAUUAACACAAGAAUUUAAGAAGACUUGAAGUUUUAAGGAAAACAUUAGCAUGGGUUAUAAGGUGCCAACACUUAUGAUGUAUAUGUAUAACGAAAGACUAAUAUAAUGAAUCCCUUUUUUAAAAAAAUAACAAGAAAUGUGAUACGAAUCCACCUUUGAAGACAUUUUAGACAAAGAAAAAGUUAAAGGGAAAAUAGAGAGUCCGGAACUGCAAAUGGAAAACGUCAACCAAACAUUAUACCGAUCCUAUAUGAACACAAAGUUGACAUUGCUUCUACGUAUCUGGAAGGUCAUGCACCCUCUCUCUUCUCUUUGAUUAAACGUGAAGAGACAUUGCUCUAUUGGUAAGAACUUGUUAAAGCAUUGCAAAAACAAUUAUGGGCCUGCAGUAUGGGCGGACCUAGGUACACUCCAGGGGAUUCACUCGUCAAAAAACUACACUUUAUAUAUAACGUCAAAUUCUGACUUUAUGGAUAUAUAUUAAAAUGAACCCCCUCAAAACAAACUACAUGCUUGGCUCAAUCGAUACGUGUUUCAAGAUCUGCCCAUAGGUCACCGGUUCAAAUCCUUUGGGCAACAUUUUUCCCCUAUUUUUUAAUGCUUUGGAAAAUGGAACUUUUGGAAUUAGACCUUCUUCAUCUUUUUCA
Solanum pennellii is the source of this 823-nucleotide long non-coding RNA. RefSeq lists it as uncharacterized. The transcript is spliced from 2 exons. The record is from RefSeq and is a predicted model, not a curated record. Lineage: Eukaryota; Viridiplantae; Streptophyta; Magnoliopsida; Solanales; Solanaceae.